GAACACCAGUGGCGAAGGCGUCUAUCUGGUUCAAAUCUGACGCUGAGGCGCGAAGGCGUGGGGAGCAAACAGGAUUAGGUACCCUGGUUGUCCACGCUGUAAACGAUGAAUGUUAAAUAUGGGAAGUUUACUUUCUGUAUUAUAGCUAACGCGUUAAACAUUCCGCCUGGGGACUACGGUCGCAAGAUUAAAACUCAAAGGAAUUGACGGGGACCCGCACAAGCGGUGGAGCAUGUGGUUUAAUUCGAUGCAACGCGAAAAACCUUACCACUCCUUGACAUGGAAAUUAUACCUAUUCGAAGGGAUAGGGUCGGUUCGGCCGGAUUUCACACAGGUGUUGCAUGGCUGUCGUCAGCUCGUGUCGUGAGAUGUUGGGUUAAGUCCCGCAACGAGCGCAACCCUCAUCCUUAGUUACCAUCAGGUAAUGCUGGGGACUUUAAGGAAACUGCCAGUGAUAAACUGGAGGAAGGUGGGGAUGAUGUCAAGUCAUCAUGGCCCUCAUGGAGUGGGCUACACACGUGCUACAAUGGUGGCUACAAUGGGCUGCAAAGUCGCGAGGCUAAGCUAAUCCCUUAAAAGCCAUCUCAGUUCGGAUUGUACUCUGCAACUCGAGUGCAUGAAGUUGGAAUCGCUAGUAAUCGUGGAUCAGCACGCCACGAUGAAUACGUUCUCGGGUCUUGUACACACUGCCCGUCACGCCAUGGGAAUUGGUUUCACUCGAAGCUAACGACCUAACCGCAAGGAGGGAGUUAUUUAAAGUGGGAUCGGUGACUGGGGUG
Molecule: ribosomal RNA, 779 nt
Filed under: uncultured bacterium
Lineage: Bacteria
Description: bacterial SSU rRNA
Rfam family: Bacterial small subunit ribosomal RNA
Source: RNAcentral